Molecule: long non-coding RNA, 6745 nt
Filed under: Triticum aestivum (bread wheat)
Lineage: Eukaryota; Viridiplantae; Streptophyta; Magnoliopsida; Poales; Poaceae
Description: long non-coding RNA (TAES_LNC018010)
Source: RNAcentral
CACCGGUGGAUUUGAUUACAAAUCUUAAAGCCGUGGACCAGAGCCACGUCAGCGAGCAAUAAUGUUCGGUGAAAACAGAAGUCGUCCCGAACGAACGAGACACUCGCACCACUCAUCCACUUCUCUCUCUAGCCGCUCUCCAUUCCCCAUGCCACCGUCUCCCGUCCGCUCCACGCCCCCACCUCCCCACCGCCGUCCCCAGCUCACCGGCGCUGCCCUAUCCUAUCCUCGCCGCCACGCGCAUUUGCUGCCGCGCGACGACAUCGGCGCCCUCGUAGCUGGGACUCCGCCUAGUCAACUUUGAUUGGGAGGUGGUGACGCAUCCGUACCGGCGGGGAGGUGGUGGAUGGGGCGCGGCCAUUUGCGAGCACCAGGAGCGGUGGUGGUGGCCAGGGCUGCGCCGUGUCCGGGGCAAAGUGCACCGCACUGAGGAGGCGUCGGCAUCGACGGCAGGGCGCGGAGGCGCACCUCGAUUCAGGAGACGCGCGCGCGGGAGGCGACGUUGUCGCUUGUCCAUCAAGAGCAGAUGCGGGCGGAGGCGGCGAGCGCGCUGUCGGCCACGUCGGGGACGGGAUGCCCCUCCCACUCCCACUCGCUGCGCGUCGAGCUUGACAUGGCCGCGAGCUUGCUUUCUAGGCGGGGGCUGCGGGGUGGUGCACGCCAUGGAGACCGCUGGGCUCGCCACUGAUUUUGAGCAGCGUCAUGGGAGCCAGCAAGAGACGAUUCAUCAGUACCCCCUGAUACUCACCCUCUAGCUUCUUUUUUUUCCUUCUUAAUGUUUUCUGUGACGCAUCAGUACUCCCUAAUCGCCUUGAUACUAGUACGUACGUUUUUUGUCUCAAACUAGUUGCCAUUUUGUCAUAAUUUGCAAUCAGAGUAUGUUGCUCCUUUUAGCAGCAAGCAAAACUGACCAAACUAGUUGUGUUUGUGCCGUGUGCAUCUCUGCUUUUUUGUUAUAUAUACAUCGUGCAAACUUCUAAAAUUUCUGCAAUUGUUAGUUUUUUUGUUCCACGACAUAAGAGAUAAAUGCUACAAGAACAUGACAUUUUUUACUAAAAUGAUAUGACAAUUAUUAGAAAAAUCAUAUGGAAAUUUUCAGAAAUUCACAAGUUUAUGAAAAAUGGCAUUUUUAGAUAAAACUGAAUUUUUUGUCACAUGGCAUUUUCUUACAAAGUCACAUGUCAUUUUUAUUGACAACUAACAGUGGCAAAAUUCAGAUUUUUUUGUUGACUCACCUUUUCUGCCAUGACACAUUUAUUAGGACAUACCCAAUGGCAAGUUUUAAUAUGUACCUCAUGGCAAAUUUACUUUAUAGCAAGUUUCUUUUUUCAAGCCUAUGUCAAAGUUACUUUAUAGCAAGUUUUAAUAUGUACACCAUGGCAAAUUUACUUUCGUUUUGUAUGACGAUGUCAAACUUUUCUUACCAUGGCAAUUUUUGGCAAAUUCACUAGACGUCCCACGGCAAAUUCACUAACAUGCCCAUGGCAAGUUUCUUUUUCAAGCCGAUGUCAAACUUUUCUUUCCAUGCAACUUUCUUUUUUCAAGACGAUGUCAAGCUUUUCUUACCAUGGCAAUUUUUUUAGUGAAUUUUCCAUGUCAAAUUCACUAGAUGUCCCACGGCAAAUUCACUAACAUGCCCAUGGCAAGUUUCUUUUUUCAAGCUGAUGUCAAACUUUUUUUUCCAUGGCAACUUUCUUUUUUCAAGACGAUGUGAAACUUCACUAGAUGUCCCACGACAAAUUCACUAACAUGCCCAUGGCAAGUUUCUUUUUUCAAGCCGAUGUCAAACUUUUAUUGCCAUGGCAACUUUCGCUUUUCAAGACAAUGUCCAACUUUUCUUACCAUGGCAAUUUUUUUAGUGAAUUUGCCAUGGCAAAUUUACCUAAAGUUCCAUGGUAAUUUUUAACUUUUAUUGUCAUGGCAAGUUUUACUUUUUAUUUGCCAUGGCUAAUUUACCUUUAUUAACAUGGCAAUUUCUAACUUCUAUUGCCAUGGCAAGAUUUUACUAUUUAUUUGACCUUUAUUAACAUUGAUGUUAUUACUUUUUUUUGCCAUGUCAAAUAUAUGCAAAUUUUAAUAUGAUUUUGGUUAUGAUCAUGGCAAUUUUAACUAUAUGCACCAUGACCAUUUUUCUUCCUUUUUGCAACAUGGCAAAUUUCUUUUGCACGGGACCAUGGCAAAUAGUCUAUGCAUCUUCGAAAUUUUAGUGUAUGGAUCAUGCCAUUUUGUAGUCUACAUUUUAGUACAUGGAUCAUGCCAUGAGAUUAUAGCCUAUGCAUUUCUGUCAUAAGAUCAUGGAAACAUUAUGUAGGUUUUUUCAUUUAUUUUUUUAAUACACAAUUUUUUUGCCAUGUACAGUGGGAAUUUUACAAGUACUUUUUUUUAAUUCCCAUCCCCCAUCCCCCACUUGCCUUGUCUUUAUUUAGAGAAUAAAAUUUGUAAAACUUGCCAUGUGUAGCAUUUUUUCCUUCGUUCAUACUCGUCAUCACAAUUUGUUCACUAAAUUUUCUUUUUUUAAUCAUGCAUGCUUUAACAUACUGAACGUAGCCAUUUUGUGGUGUCUCAGUUGGCAAUUAAUCACUCAUUAUAAAUCCUAAUGCAGUGUCAUGUUUUGAAUUUUCUGUAUUGUACCGUUUUUUCUCUACUAGUUUUACAUAUGUCUACAUUUUUCUCUAUAUUUUUUGGUGCAAAGGGAUUCUUGUUUGGGCCAGGAAGCAGUAUUGGGCCUGUCUGGUCAGGCGUUCGUGCUAAGAGGCUGUUUGUAUCGAACAAAAUGGUUCGGCCGAUCGCUACUCCCCUGCCGAACGAAACGUCAGUCCGGUGCCUACCCAGACCGAACGUUCGGCCGUUAUCGGCGUCCUAAAAUUAUUUUAAAGCUUCAAAAAUAUUUGAGAAAAAUCAGGGAAACUCAGUGGACAUAUAUUUUCCAUAUAUAAGAGUUUCAACACAUGGCCAUGUUCAAAAUAUUAGGUAAAACCCUCCAAAACCAUUUCUGUCCAUUUCAAGUAUUUGAAAUAUUUCUACAAGAAAUAUUUUCCAAUAAAUCCAGGAAAAUUCUAGCAAGUCACAUCUGCAUAAUGUGAUGAUAUUGCAAAGUUCUAUUUCAAUCAAAAUUGUUUUGGUUCACAAAAGUGCCCCAAAACCCUUUCUGUCCACAACCAAACUUGGCCAACUUUACAUUACCAACUUCUUCCAAAUUACCUCAAACCUUGUGGACAUGCUCACAACCCCAAAUGAGGACACUACACCAAGUGGUGCAUCUAGGGGAAUGGUUUUGCAUGACUAGAUCUUGGUAAAUGCAUUUCGGUUUUGCAUGACUAGAUCUUGGUAAAUGCAUUUCUGUUGAUUUCUAGGGUUUACAACAGUUGCAUUGGCAACUUUGCCCAAAUGAGCUCAAAAUUGGUGGAAGGCCCUAAUUAUAUGUGCCAUUUCACCCUGUGGAGUCUCAUGUCAAAUGAAAUUCAUUUGCAUACCCAAACCAGCAACAAACACUUUCGGCCACUUUACCAAAAUUUCAUUUUUGACCUCUUCCACUAAUCUCCAUGGGCUCAACUUUGUACCACAGCUGCUCCUGACCCUCUUCUACCACUAGUAACUAUGGCUGCAUCUCAGCUCAAUGAUUGAGGUGUGCAACCACCUCAUUUACCCCUCUGGACAAUCCAUUUCCCCCUCUCUCUCUCUCAACCCCACUCCUCUCCUACUAGCUCUCCAAGGCACCCAAUGCAACUCCCCUCUUCUUUACUGCCGCAUAGGGCAGCCAGACAUCAGGUGUCAUGCCCACAAGGCAUAUAAAAUGCCAUGGCAUGCCAUUUGCAUGCUCCAGAGCGCGGUACAGUGCGGCCAGGCACUGUAGCCACCCCCUGCUAACCACCUCCGGCCACCUCGGGCGAACCCAGCGCGCCCGACGAGGUGCCUCGGCAUCUGCGACACGCUAACCCCUGUCCCCCUCCUCCUUCUCCCUCCCGCUGCCCCUGCUCGCACGAGCGCCGGCCGCCCGAGAGCUCCAAUGAGGGGCCUCACGCGCGCAGCACCUCUGGCCCUCCCCCGCUCUCACUCUUCACUCCACUCGCUCUGGACCAACCACAGGAACGCCAGAAACACGCCCACACGAGCCACGUUGGCCUGCAGUGACGGCAAAAAGCUCCCUGGCGCACGAGUCCUCGAUGGACCGCCGCCCCCCUAUUUAAGGGCCUCCCCGAGCCCUCCUCUCCUCACCACUCGCUCUCUAACUCCGUAAUCACCCCCCUACACCACCCUCUCCUCUCUAAAAGCUCUCGACCCCGAGCUCCGCCGCGGCGGCUCACCAUCGUCCGCACGGUAGAAGCUCUCCCCACUGCUCCUAAGCCCCGAUCUGGAACCCCCGCACUCCACUGAUCCUUUCCCCCUGUUUCCCCUCUCUGUAGCUGCUGGAAACGGCCAGAACCGCCGCCACCCGAAGCUCCUCCGACCGUCCUCGUCGCCGGCGAACCAGGCCACCCCGACGACCGCAACCGCCACCACCAGUACGGCGACUCGACGCUGAGUCCAGCCGUGCCCUCGCCUGAAGUCGUUGCCGGCCGUUUGGACUCAGGGUUAGGGAUGACAGGCGGGCCCUGCCUGUCAGCCUCCUCUCCAUUACCCCACUCUCUCUCGCUGACGCCUGGGCCUCGCCCGUCAGGUUUAAACCUGGCACACGCGCGUGCACCGGUGCGCUGGGCCACCUCUCUGGCUGGGCCUGCUGCGCUGCGGCUGAUCUGGCCCUCCAGGCAUAGUGCCCCUUCUCCUUUUUCUUUUCUGUUAAACUUGCAAAAAUUCCACAUGAUUAAGUAAUAAUCCAAAUGCAAUAAUUCCAACUCCUAAAUUCUUGUAAUAAUCCCACCAAUUUAAUGGUGCAAUUUUAACUCUUAUCAAACCAGCUUUUCUUCAAUGUUCAAAUAUAAAUUUGAAUUUGAGCAUUUAUGUGUGUCAUUGAAAAUUCCUAGCACUGGUUCCAUGACUCCAAAUCCAAAACUAGGAAUUUCUCAUUCUUAGAAUACAGUCUAGUAUUUAACAAAAAAUAGUUGACAUUUUUCUGAGCACUUUGGUUUUUCUGUUUUUCUAUUGCCUUAUUUUCUCAUUGUUAUUUUGCGACGAUAGAUUGUGUUGCUGACGAAGGAGUUGGACUAGAAGACUUUGAAGACCCAGAAGACUUUGCUGAGCCAGGCAAGCAGCCCUUUGACCAUACCGUGAAACCUUUUUAUGCAUGUCAUAUAGCACUUGUUGUUGUUGCACCGGAAUCAUGAUGGGAGGGUACCACUUUGGUGAGUUACUCCGUUGCUUUUUCUCGUUGAUACUUGCAUGAUGCAUGACCCUACCUUUCUAUGAGGGUUAUGCGAGUGGGGGUAGCUAGGAUGCUAAGUAGAGCUACGCAAAAAGGGAUGGGUAUAUGCAUGGUGAUGGAAGCAAGAUUGUUUUCAAAAACUUUUCGAAAACUCCAUCGGGUGCCACUUAUGCCUGAGGGAGAUAAUGAGUUGGGUAACCACUUGAUGACGAAGUGGUGUACGGAGGCAAGUGUGUGUGUUGUUUUCAAAACGGAUUGGUUUAAGUUGCGACCGUUACUCCAACCUUACAUUCGCAACCACUAUACCCUUAUAUGGGAAGGGCAUUAUUGAUUACCUAGGCCGAUACUAGCAUGGCGCCCACAUUACUAGUGACGGGGGAGACAUGAGGUCACUCUCGGGACGGGGUCGUACCAGGUAGGGCGGCCAUGAAUGUUUUUACAGGGCACCGGACACACCGUUGGUACCCAGUGCUUGUGGUAUGUGAUGAAUAUGGGAGCGUGGCUCCAAAAUCUUAAGAUGAGAAAUGUUGGGCACGGGGGUUGCUACCAAUCGAGUGGACUCUAUGACAGUGUCGUCUAGGGAGAGAUAAUGAUAUGGUGCUUACCCCGGGUACUUGAGGUGCUGCGGGUCAUGGAUGACAUGGAAGUUCCCCGGAUCUUGUGGGUAAAGUGUGCAACCUCUGCAGAGUGUAAAACUAUUCGAAUAGCCGUGUCCACGGUCAAGGACAGUUGGGUAACCGCUCUUGGGCUACGUCCACUUGUUUACAAACCAGUCUAUGUGUGUUUGGAUAAGUGCGAACAACUACUUGGGUCAAGUCAAAGGACUUGACAUGAUUGAGUUGGGCUGAAGCCCGCUCCCUUUAUAUUGAUAUCUGUAACCAAUCCCUAUAGUUACUUGAAUUCAUAUGAUGCAUGAUUUACCAGUUGUUGAACCUGUCAUAGCACAAUAAAAUUAGCUUUCUGCAAAAAUUUACCUAUGUCAUGCAUUGUUGUAUCUUGAGCCAAAACAUGGGUUGCUUGUGAGGACAUUCAAAGUACUCAUUGGCUUGCCACUGGUUAUUUAAUUGGCCAGGCAUGGAAGAGCAGGAAUUUGAGGAAGAGUUGUUCUGAGCCGAACAUGCGAACGGGACGAUGUCCCAGUCAGAAUGCCUGUAGGGUUAAAGCAGAUUGCAUGGGUUCUACUUAUCUAUGAAGACUUCCGCUAUUUGUGUUUAUUCGAUGUUUAGCCGUGAGGCUUAUCUAUGUAAGACUUGACCAUAAUGGUCAUAAUUUGUGUAAGACGGUACGUUUGGAUGUAAGACUCUUGUUAUUCAGCAUCUGUGUCUUCAGUGAGCAUUGAUCUUUGGGAUCACUGUACACGUGCAUUUGGUGAUCUCGGCUCAUAAGUCGGGGUCCCCACAGAACUGGUAUCAGAGCCAUCCUGGCUGUAGGAAGCCUUAGUUAGCA